UGGGGAAUAUUGCACAAUGGGCGCAAGCCUGAUGCAGCGACGCCGCGUGAGGGAUGACGGCCUUCGGGUUGUAAACCUCUUUCAGUACCGACGAAGCGCAAGUGACGGUAGGUACAGAAGAAGCACCGGCCAACUACGUGCCAGCAGCCGCGGUAAUACGUAGGGUGCGAGCGUUGUCCGGAAUUACUGGGCGUAAAGAGCUCGUAGGCGGUUUGUCGCGUCGUCUGUGAAAACCCGCAGCUCAACUGCGGGCUUGCAGGCGAUACGGGCAGACUUGAGUACUGCAGGGGAGACUGGAAUUCCUGGUGUAGCGGUGAAAUGCGCAGAUAUCAGGAGGAACACCGGUGGCGAAGGCGGGUCUCUGGGCAGUAACUGACGCUGAGGAGCGAAAGCGUGGGUAGCGAACAGG
RNAcentral lists this ribosomal RNA (409 nucleotides) under uncultured bacterium. Its description in RNAcentral is "partial 16S ribosomal RNA". It matches the Rfam family "Bacterial small subunit ribosomal RNA", at positions 355 to 776 of the family's 1533-position model. RNAcentral also lists the same sequence under 2 other names. The record is from RNAcentral.